AGAGUUUGAUCCUGGCUCAGGACGAACGCUGGCGGCGUGCCUAAUACAUGCAAGUCGAACGAACGGAGGAAGAGCUUGCUCUUCCAAAGUUAGUGGCGGACGGGUGAGUAACACGUGGGCAACCUGCCUGUAAGUUGGGGAUAACUCCGGGAAACCGGGGCUAAUACCGAAUGAUAGAAUGUGGCGCAUGCCACGCUUUUGAAAGAUGGUUUCGGCUAUCGCUUACAGAUGGGCCCGCGGUGCAUUAGCUAGUUGGUAGGGUAAUGGCCUACCAAGGCAACGAUGCAUAGCCGACCUGAGAGGGUGAUCGGCCACACUGGGACUGAGACACGGCCCAGACUCCUACGGGAGGCAGCAGUAGGGAAUCUUCCGCAAUGGACGAAAGUCUGACGGAGCAACGCCGCGUGUAUGAAGAAGGUUUUCGGAUCGUAAAGGACUGAUGAUAGAGAAGAAAUAGGAUAAGAGUAACUGCUUGUCCCUUGACGGUAUCUAACCAGAAAGCCACGGCUAACUACGUGCCAGCAGCMGCGGUAAUACGUAGGUGGCAAGCGUUGUCCGGAUUUAUUGGGCGUAAAGCGCGCGCAGGCGGUCUUUUAAGUCUGAUGUGAAAGCCCCCGGCUUAACCGGGGAGGGUCAUYGGAAACUGGAAGACUGGAGUGCAGAAGAGGAGAGUGGAAUUCCACGUGUAGCGGUGAAAUGCGUAGAUAUGUGGAGGAACACCAGUGGCGAAGGCGACUCUCUGGUCUGUAACUGACGCUGAGGCGCGAAAGCGUGGGGAGCAAACAGGAUUAGAUACACUGGUAGGCCCCGCCGGAAACGAUGAGGGAUAAGUGUUAGGGGGGUUCUGCCCCUUAGAGCUGCAGCUAACCCAUUAAGCACUCCGCCUGGGGCGUACGACCGCAAGGCUGACACUCACAGGAAUUGCCGGGGGCCCGCACACGCGGUGGCGCAUGUGGUUUAAUUCGAAGCAACGCGCAGAACCUUACCAGGCCCUGACAUCCUUUGCCCACUCUGGAGACAGCGCUUUACCUUCGGGGACAAAGUGCCAGGUGGUGCAUGGUUGUCGUCAGCUCGUGUCGUGCGAUGAUGGGGUAAGUACCGCAACGAGCGCAACACUUGAUUUUAGUUGAGAGCAUUUAGUUGGGCACUCUAAAGUGACUGCCGGUGCC
Molecule: ribosomal RNA, 1169 nt
Filed under: Listeria monocytogenes
Lineage: Bacteria; Bacillati; Bacillota; Bacilli; Caryophanales; Listeriaceae
Description: bacterial SSU rRNA
Source: RNAcentral